AUUGAACGCUGGCGGCAGGCCUAACACACGCAAGUCGAACGGUAACAGGAAGCAGCUUGCUGCUUUGCUGACGAGUGGCGGACGGGUGAGUAAUGUCUGGGAAACUGCCUGAUGGAGGGGGAUAACUACUGGAAACGGUAGCUAAUACCGCAUAACGUCGCAAGACCAAAGAGGGGGACCUUAGGGCCUCUUGCCAUCGGAUGUGCCCAGAUGGGAUUAGCUAGUAGGUGGGGUAACGGCUCACCUAGGCGACGAUCCCUAGCUGGUCUGAGAGGAUGACCAGCCACACUGGAACUGAGACACGGUCCAGACUCCUACGGGAGGCAGCAGUGGGGAAUAUUGCACAAUGGGCGCAAGCCUGAUGCAGCCAUGCCGCGUGUAUGAAGAAGGCCUUCGGGUUGUAAAGUACUUUCAGCGGGGAGGAAGGGAGUAAAGUUAAUACCUUUGCUCAUUGACGUUACCCGCAGAAGAAGCACCGGCUAACUCCGUG
Molecule: ribosomal RNA, 490 nt
Filed under: uncultured bacterium
Lineage: Bacteria
Description: partial 16S ribosomal RNA
Rfam family: Bacterial small subunit ribosomal RNA
Source: RNAcentral